This 505-nucleotide ribosomal RNA is filed under the name uncultured bacterium. Its description in RNAcentral is "partial 16S ribosomal RNA". It matches the Rfam family "Bacterial small subunit ribosomal RNA", at positions 28 to 507 of the family's 1533-position model. The record is from RNAcentral.
GACGAACGCUGGCGGCGUGCCUAAUACAUGCAAGUAGAACGCACAGUUUAUACCGUAGCUUGCUACACCAUAGACUGUGAGUUGCGAACGGGUGAGUAACGCGUAGGUAACCUGCCUGGUAGCGGGGGAUAACUAUUGGAAACGAUAGCUAAUACCGCAUAAUAUUAAUUAUUGCAUGAUAAUUAAUUGAAAGGUGCAAUUGCACCACUACCAGAUGGACCUGCGUUGUAUUAGCUAGUAGGUGAGGUAACGGCUCACCUAGGCGACGAUACAUAGCCGACCUGAGAGGGUGAUCGGCCACACUGGGACUGAGACACGGCCCAGACUCCUACGGGAGGCAGCAGUAGGGAAUCUUCGGCAAUGGACGAAAGUCUGACCGAGCAACGCCGCGUGAGUGAAGAAGGUUUUCGGAUCGUAAAGCUCUGUUGUAAGAGAAGAACGGGUGUGAGAGUGGAAAGUUCACACUGUGACGGUAUCUUACCAGAAAAGGACGGCUAACUACGUG